RNAcentral lists this ribosomal RNA (490 nucleotides) under uncultured bacterium. RNAcentral describes it as "partial 16S ribosomal RNA". It matches the Rfam family "Bacterial small subunit ribosomal RNA", at positions 30 to 507 of the family's 1533-position model. The record is from RNAcentral.
AUUGAACGUUGGCGGCAGGCCUAACACAUGCAAGUCGAACGGUAACAGGAAGCAGCUUGCUGCUUCGCUGACGAGUGGCGGACGGGUGAGUAAUGUCUGGGAAGCUGCCUGAUGGAGGGGGAUAACUACUGGAAACGGUAGCUAAUACCGCAUAAUGUCGCAAGACCAAAGAGGGGGACCUUCGGGCCUCUUGCCAUCGGAUGUGCCCAGAUGGGAUUAGCUUGUUGGUGGGGUAACGGCUCACCAAGGCGACGAUCCCUAGCUGGUCUGAGAGGAUGACCAGCCACACUGGAACUGAGACACGGUCCAGACUCCUACGGGAGGCAGCAGUGGGGAAUAUUGCACAAUGGGCGCAAGCCUGAUGCAGCCAUGCCGCGUGUAUGAAGAAGGCCUUCGGGUUGUAAAGUACUUUCAGCGGGGAGGAAGGGAGUAAAGUUAAUACCUUUGCUCAUUGACGUUACCCGCAGAAGAAGCACCGGCUAACUCCGUG